Cyprinus carpio carpio is the source of this 640-nucleotide long non-coding RNA. The record is from Ensembl. Lineage: Eukaryota; Metazoa; Chordata; Actinopteri; Cypriniformes; Cyprinidae.
GUAUGAUGAUUAAUGUUCGCAAUCCAUCAGAACAGUGAAGAAUGUCCCAAUUAACCUGAAAAUUUCUGACUUAGAUUAUCAUAAGAAGCUAACGUGGGACCAGUGUUGAAGAAUAUGAAAGAAGAUGUUUGGAGUCCAAAAAACACAGAGACUGUUCCACAGAAGAAAGUAAGUCAUUCAGAUAAAUUUUGAUGCAGCAGUGUAUCCAUAUAUCUACUUUGCUUUUGUGAGCCAUCACAUUUGGAGUGUCGCUGAAAAGUUGCCACCUGGACAACAAGAAGUAGAAGUCAUGAGAGGAAAAGAGGCCUGAACGUGCAGUGGAAAUUCUUCAGUCACUUCCUAUACUCUCAAAGGUGUGUUUAUCUGUCUAACCAUCCAGUCAGCCAGUCUAAGACCACCAGAGCUGCAACAACUGCAUCAACACUUCAAACGCCAACCCUGCCACUCUCUCUCUGUCUCUCUCCAUCUGUUUCACUCCGAGUGGCUGGCAGUUGGUUUUUGUCUCCUCUUUGAGACAGGGUUUUAAACAAAGGGCUCAGGUUAAACAGUAUCACAGAUGUCUGCUGAUGCUAUAGGUGAACGCACACAUGCUUUCAUUUACUUUACUGCUCUUGCUUUGCAAGAUUGCUUCAGUAUGGAU